Molecule: ribosomal RNA, 494 nt
Filed under: uncultured bacterium
Lineage: Bacteria
Description: partial 16S ribosomal RNA
Rfam family: Bacterial small subunit ribosomal RNA
Source: RNAcentral
GACGAACGCUGGCGGCGUGCUUAACACAUGCAAGUCGAACGGUGAAGCGCCUUCCUUUUUGGUGGGUGUGGAUGAGUGGCGAACGGGUGAGUAACACGUGAGUAACCUGCCCCCUUCUUCUGGAUAACCGCAUGAAAGUGUGGCUAAUACGGGAUAUUCUGGGUCUGUCGCAUGAUGGGUCUGGGAAAGAUAUUGUUUCGGUGGGGGAUGGGCUCGCGGCCUAUCAGCUUGUUGGUGGGGUGAUGGCCUACCAAGGCGGUGACGGGUAGCCGGCCUGAGAGGGUGGACGGUCACACUGGGACGGAGACACGGCCCAGACUCCUACGGGAGGCAGCAGUGGGGAAUAUUGCACAAUGGGCGCAAGCUUGAUGCAGCGACGCCGCGUGAGGGAUGGAGGCCUUCGGGUUGUGAACCUCUUUCGCCAGUGAAGCAGGCCUGCCUCGUUUGUGGGUGGGUUGACGGUAGCUGGAUAAGAAGCGCCGGCUAACUACGUG